UACGAAGGGGGCUAGCGUUGCUCGGAAUCACUGGGCGUAAAGCGCACGUAGGCGGCUUUCUAAGUCAGGGGUGAAAUCCUGGAGCUCAACUCCAGAACUGCCUUUGAUACUGGAAAGCUUGAGUUCGGGAGAGGUGAGUGGAACUGCGAGUGUAGAGGUGAAAUUCGUAGAUAUUCGCAGGAACACCAGUGGCGAAGGCGGCUUACUGGUCCAUUACUGACGCUGAGGUGCGAAAGCGUGGGGAGCAAACAGG
This 253-nucleotide ribosomal RNA is filed under the name uncultured bacterium. Its description in RNAcentral is "partial 16S ribosomal RNA". It matches the Rfam family "Bacterial small subunit ribosomal RNA", at positions 524 to 776 of the family's 1533-position model. The record is from RNAcentral.